AACCAUGCGCAGUGGCAGUAUCAUAGGUUCAUCUGAAGUGUGAUUAUUGAUAGUUGAAAACUUUACCCAAUACCCCGCCUUGGUGAUUAGAAAUAUAAUCGUCAAAGGCAAUUUUUGACAGUCUCUAUGGAGA
Molecule: small nuclear RNA, 133 nt
Filed under: Nothobranchius furzeri (turquoise killifish)
Lineage: Eukaryota; Metazoa; Chordata; Actinopteri; Cyprinodontiformes; Nothobranchiidae
Description: U4 spliceosomal RNA (ENSNFUG00015021820.1)
Rfam family: U4 spliceosomal RNA
About the family: U4 small nuclear RNA (U4 snRNA) is a component of the major U2-dependent spliceosome. The structure of U4 snRNA from yeast and human has been reported.
Source: Rfam by way of RNAcentral